Molecule: ribosomal RNA, 300 nt
Filed under: uncultured Bacillus sp.
Lineage: Bacteria; Bacillati; Bacillota; Bacilli; Caryophanales; Bacillaceae
Description: partial 16S ribosomal RNA
Rfam family: Bacterial small subunit ribosomal RNA (bases 56-300)
Source: RNAcentral
GGGGGGUGGGUGGGGGGGGGGGGGGUAAUGGGGGGGGGGUGGGCGUGGGUGGGGGUGACUGGGGGUAAAGGGGGGGGGGGCGGCUGGGGUUGGCAGGGGGUAAAGGCCCGGUGUGAAGCUGGGGACUGCGUUGGAGACGGCGGGGCUAGAGUUCGGGAGAGGAGAGUGGAAUUCCCAGUGUAGAGGUGAAAUGCGUAGAGAGUGGGAAGAACACCGGUGGCGAAGGCGGCUCUCUGGACCGAGACUGACGCUGAGGCGCGAAAGCGUGGGGAGCAAACAGGAUUAGAUACCCCAGUAGUC